This 260-nucleotide ribosomal RNA is filed under the name uncultured prokaryote. Its description in RNAcentral is "partial 16S ribosomal RNA". It matches the Rfam family "Bacterial small subunit ribosomal RNA", at positions 524 to 782 of the family's 1533-position model. The record is from RNAcentral.
UACGUAGGGUGCGAGCGUUGUCCGGAAUUACUGGGCGUAAAGAGCUCGUAGGUGGUUUGUCGCGUCGUCUGUGAAAUUCCGGGGCUUAACCUCGGGCGUGCAGGCGAUACGGGCAAUACUUGAGUGCUGUAGGGGAGACUGGAAUUCCUGGUGUAGCGGUGAAAUGCGCAGAUGUCAGGAGGAACACCGAUGGCGAAGGCAGGUCUCUGGGCAGUAACUGACGCUGAGGAGCGAAAGCAUGGGUAGCAAACAGGAUUAGA